This is a small nucleolar RNA of Solea solea (common sole), 155 nucleotides long. RefSeq annotates it as small nucleolar RNA U109. NCBI's taxonomy places the organism in Eukaryota, Metazoa, Chordata, Actinopteri, Pleuronectiformes, Soleidae. The record is from RefSeq and is a predicted model, not a curated record. The transcript has a single exon.
CUGCAUGUUUUGGCCCCAGGCCACGGUUUGCCUCUCUAUUUCUGUAGAGUGGACAAGUGCAAACAUGCUAGAUUAACAUUUGAAACAUAUGGGAGUUAACAGGGCCAGCAGUCUCCAAGGUCAGGCUGAUUUGGUAGUAUAAAACUCCCACAUUC